This 77-nucleotide transfer RNA is filed under the name Desulfovibrio sp. RNAcentral's name for it is "tRNA-Gln". It matches the Rfam family "tRNA". Rfam says of the family: Transfer RNA (tRNA) molecules are approximately 80 nucleotides in length. Their secondary structure includes four short double-helical elements and three loops (D, anti-codon, and T loops). Lineage: Bacteria; Pseudomonadati; Thermodesulfobacteriota; Desulfovibrionia; Desulfovibrionales; Desulfovibrionaceae. The record is from RNAcentral.
UGGGGUGUGGCCAAGCUGGUUAAGGCAACGGGUUUUGGUCCCGUCAUUCGAGGGUUCGAGUCCUUCCACCCCAGCCA